GACGAACGCUGGCGGCGUGCCUAACACAUGCAAGUCGAGCGAUGAAAUUCCUUCGGGGAUGGAUUAGCGGCGGACGGGUGAGUAACACGUGGGUAACCUGCCUCAAAGAGGGGGAUAGCCUCCCGAAAGGGAGAUUAAUACCGCAUAACAUUAGUUUUUCGCAUGAGGAACUAAUUAAAGGAGUAAUCCGCUUUGAGAUGGAUCCGCGGCGCAUUAGCUAGUUGGUGAGGUAACGGCUCACCAAGGCGACGAUGCGUAGCCGACCUGAGAGGGUGAUCGGCCACAUUGGAACUGAGACACGGUCCAGACUCCUACGGGAGGCAGCAGUGGGGAAUAUUGCACAAUGGGCGAAAGCCUGAUGCAGCAACGCCGCGUGAGUGAUGAAGGCCUUCGGGUUGUAAAGCUCUGUCUUUUGGGACGAUAAUGACGGUACCUGAGGAGGAAGCCACGGCUAACUACGUGCCAGCCGCCGCCGUAA
RNAcentral lists this ribosomal RNA (478 nucleotides) under uncultured bacterium. Its description in RNAcentral is "partial 16S ribosomal RNA". It matches the Rfam family "Bacterial small subunit ribosomal RNA", at positions 28 to 523 of the family's 1533-position model. The record is from RNAcentral.